RNAcentral lists this long non-coding RNA (1392 nucleotides) under Apteryx haastii (Great spotted kiwi). RNAcentral describes it as "lncRNA (ENSAHAG00000017292.1)". The record is from RNAcentral. Lineage: Eukaryota; Metazoa; Chordata; Aves; Apterygiformes; Apterygidae.
UGCCCUGCUGGCCACGGCACACCGUACCUGAGCCCGGGGCUGGCUCCCACGCACCGGGUACGUCUCGCGGCCGGGCCCGCCGCGGCCCCGUAGAGCGCCCUGGCGGUCGAGCGAGUGGGGCCGGGCGCCGCGCAGCCGGGCGCGCUGGUGCCACGACUGCAGCUCCUCCGACACGGCCGCCUUGGAGAGGCCGCGCCCGGCGCCCGGCGCGUAGUCCUUGAGCGAGGGCGUGCGCACGAUGCGGCUGUGCGACGGCACCAGGCGCUGGUAGCGCAGCGGGGCCAGAUCCUGCUCGUAGCAGAAAGCGCCCGGCAGCCGCGGGGCGCCCCGGGAACAGCAGGCAGCGCGGGGCAGCUCCACGGCCGGCGGCCGGCAGCAGGAGCCGGCAGGGCUGCCUCCACCGUCGCCGCCUCCGGGAGAGGCGGCGUGGGAGAUGCCGGAGCCGUCCGAAUUGCUGUCGUCGGAGCCGGAGCGGUACGCGGGGCCGGGCGGCGGGAAGCAGUAUGCCGGCACGGUGACGGUGUAGCAGGUGGGGCGGCGGCGGGGCAAAGCGCCGCGGCCCCGGGGCUCGGCGGGUUCCCAGCACCCGUCCGCCCUGGGCGAGAAGCCGCGCGGCGCCGGAUCAACCGCCUCGCCCCCGAAAAUCUGGGCAAAGCCCAUCGCCAAAGCCCCCGCCGGCAGCCCGCGCUCGUACCUCGGGGACGGGCACUGUCCUCGCCGGCCCGGCRGCUCCGGCGUGCUCGGGGCGCUGGAGCCCAGCCGCCGGCACAGCACCAGGCUCCGCACGGGCACCGAGUGGUAGGGGGGCAUCUCGCCGGGCCGGGGCGGCCGGGGCGCUGGUGGGCCCGCCGCGUCACCGCUGCGGGGGAACGGGUGAGCCGGGGAUGGCGGGAGACCAGGCAGAGCUGCCGCCGCGGUGGCACCCGGUUUCCCCCUACCUGGCGUCGGCUCCGGGCUUCCCGGCUUUCUCGUAGGGUUGGUCCAGGCUGGUCUCCUUCCAGGAGCGGGUGGGCGAGCGCGGGCGACCCUCGGUGGUGGCGGUGGCGGUGGUGGCGGUGGGUCGGUCCGGGGCCAGCGGAAUGGGCCGGGGCGGCGAGGUCUCCUCUGCGGGGCACGGGGAGGCAUGAGGGUGGCAGGGUGCCGGGGGGCAGCCCGUCCCCGCGGCCCCCUUACCCUCCUCCGGCAGCACGGCGUCCGACAGGGAGCUCUCGUCCGAGGCGCUCGGCUCUGCAGGAAUGACGGCGGACGGGGUGAGCGCGGUGCCCGCCGGCGAGCUCGGCCCGCGCGCCCUGCCUGCCCCGACACGCGCUGCUGCCGCCGCCGCUGCCGCCACCGCGGCAAUACCNNNNNNNNNNNNNNNNNNNNNNNNNNNNNNNNNNNNNNNNNNNNNNN